This 587-nucleotide ribosomal RNA is filed under the name uncultured Planctomycetota bacterium. RNAcentral describes it as "bacterial SSU rRNA". It matches the Rfam family "Bacterial small subunit ribosomal RNA", at positions 346 to 927 of the family's 1533-position model. Lineage: Bacteria; Pseudomonadati; Planctomycetota. The record is from RNAcentral.
UGGCUGCAGUCGAGAAUCUUCGGCAAUGGGCGCAAGCCUGACCGAGCGACGCCGCGUGGAGGAUGAAGGCCCUUGGGUUGUAAACUCCUGUCAGAGGGGAUGAAGUGCGGGUGGGUUCUCCCAUCCGUUUGACAUAGCCUCAGAGGAAGCACGGGCUAAGUUCGUGCCAGCAGCCGCGGUAAGACGAACCGUGCAAACGUUAUUCGGAAUCACUGGGCUUAAAGAGUUCGUAGGCGGCCAUGCAGGUGAGAUGUGAAAUCCCUCGUCUCAACCGAGGAAUUGCGUUUCAAACCGCAUGGCUAGAAGGAGACAGAGGUAAGCGGAACUGAUGGUGGAGCGGUGAAAUGCGUUGAUAUCAUCAGGAACACCAGUGGCGAAGGCGGCUUACUGGGUCUCUCUUGACGCUGAGGAACGAAAGCUAGGGGAGCAAACGGGAUUAGAUACCCCGGUAGUCCUAGCUGUAAACGAUGAGUACUAGAUCGUGGGGUCCUCCAUAGCCUUUCAGACGUAGCGAAAGUGUUAAGUGCUCCGCCUGGGGGGUAUGGUCGCAAGGCUGAAACUCAAAGAAAUUGACGGGGGCUCACACA